GACGAACGCUGGCGGCGUGCUUAACACAUGCAAGUCGAACGGAAAGGCCCUGCUUUUGUGGGGUGCUCGAGUGGCGAACGGGUGAGUAGCACGUGAGUAACCUGCCCUUGACUUUGGGAUAACUUCAGGAAACUGGGGCUAAUACCGGAUAGGAGCUCCUGCUGCAUGGUGGGGGUUGGAAAGUUUCGGCGGUUGGGGAUGGACUCGCGGCUUAUCAGCUUGUUGGUGGGGUAGUGGCUUACCAAGGCUUUGACGGGUAGCCGGCCUGAGAGGGUGACCGGCCACAUUGGGACUGAGAUACGGCCCAAACUCCUACGGGAGGCAGCAGUGGGGAAUAUUGCACAAUGGGCGGAAGCCUGAUGCAGCAACGCCGCGUGCGGGAUGACGGCCUUCGGGUUGUAAACCGCUUUCGCCUGUGACGAAGCGUGAGUGACGGUAAUGGGUAAAGAAGCACCGGCUAACUACGUG
This 468-nucleotide ribosomal RNA is filed under the name uncultured bacterium. RNAcentral describes it as "partial 16S ribosomal RNA". It matches the Rfam family "Bacterial small subunit ribosomal RNA", at positions 28 to 507 of the family's 1533-position model. The record is from RNAcentral.